RNAcentral lists this ribosomal RNA (253 nucleotides) under uncultured bacterium. RNAcentral's name for it is "partial 16S ribosomal RNA". It matches the Rfam family "Bacterial small subunit ribosomal RNA", at positions 524 to 776 of the family's 1533-position model. The record is from RNAcentral.
UACGAAGGGGGCUAGCGUUGUUCGGAAUCACUGGGCGUAAAGCGCACGUAGGCGGAUCUUUAAGUCAGGGGUGAAAUCCCGAGGCUCAACCUCGGAACUGCCUUUGAUACUGGGGAUCUCGAGUCCGGGAGAGGUGAGUGGAACUGCGAGUGUAGAGGUGAAAUUCGUAGAUAUUCGCAAAAACACCAGUGGCGAAGGCGGCUCACUGGCCCGGAACUGACGCUGAGGUGCGAAAGCGUGGGGAGCAAACAGG